GACGAACGCUGGCGGCGUGCUUAACACAUGCAAGUCGAACGGAAAGGCCCUGCUUGCAGGGUACUCGAGUGGCGAACGGGUGAGUAACACGUGGGUGAUCUGCCCUGCACUUCGGGAUAAGCCUGGGAAACUGGGUCUAAUACCGGAUAGGAGCCAUCCUUAGUGUGGUGGUUGGAAAGUUUUUUCGGUGUGGGGUGAGCUCGCGGCCUAUCAGCUUGGUGGUGGGGUAAUGGCCUACCAAGGCGGCGACGGGUAGCCGGCCUGAGAGGGUGGACGGCCACAUUGGGACUUAGAUACGGGCCAGACUCCUACGGGAGGGAGGAGGGGGGAAAAUUGGACAAAUGGGGGGAGCCUGAUGCAGCGACGCCGCGGGGGGGAAGACGGGCUUCGGGUUGUAAACUCCCUUCGGUAGGGACGAAGCUGUUUGUGACGGUACCUGGAUAAGAAGCACCGGCUAACUACGUG
RNAcentral lists this ribosomal RNA (465 nucleotides) under uncultured bacterium. RNAcentral's name for it is "partial 16S ribosomal RNA". It matches the Rfam family "Bacterial small subunit ribosomal RNA", at positions 28 to 507 of the family's 1533-position model. The record is from RNAcentral.